GGAGGGUGCGAGCGUUGUCCGGAAUCAUUGGGCGUAAAGGGCGCGUAGGUGGCCCAGUCAGCGUGCGGUGAAAGCUCGGGGCUCAACCCCGAGUCGGCCGUGCGAACUGCUGGGCUCGAGCACUGUAGAGGCAGGCGGAAUUCCGGGUGUAGCGGUGGAAUGCAUAGAGAUCCGGAAGAACACCGGUGGCGAAGGCGGCCUGCUGGGCAGUAGCUGACACUGAGGCGCGACAGCGUGGGGAGCAAACAGGAUUAGAUACCCUGGUAGUCCACGCCGUAAACGAUGGGCACUAGGCGCUUGGGGGAGCGACCCCCCGAGGGCCGGCGCUAACGCAUUAAGUGCCCCGCCUGGGGAGUACGGCCGCAAGGCUG
Molecule: ribosomal RNA, 371 nt
Filed under: uncultured bacterium
Lineage: Bacteria
Description: bacterial SSU rRNA
Rfam family: Bacterial small subunit ribosomal RNA
Source: RNAcentral